RNAcentral lists this ribosomal RNA (492 nucleotides) under uncultured bacterium. Its description in RNAcentral is "partial 16S ribosomal RNA". It matches the Rfam family "Bacterial small subunit ribosomal RNA", at positions 29 to 507 of the family's 1533-position model. The record is from RNAcentral.
AGUGAACGCUGGCGGUAGGCCUAACACAUGCAAGUCGAACGGCAGCACAGUAAGAGCUUGCUCUUACGGGUGGCGAGUGGCGGACGGGUGAGGAAUACAUCGGAAUCUACUUUUUCGUGGGGGAUAACGUAGGGAAACUUACGCUAAUACCGCAUACGACCUACGGGUGAAAGCAGGGGAUCUUCGCACCUUGCGCGAUUGAAUGAGCCGAUGUCGGAUUAGCUAGUUGGCGGGGUAAAGGCCCACCAAGGCGACGAUCCGUAGCUGGCCUGAGAGGAUGAUAAGCCACACUGGAACUGAGACACGGUCCAGACUCCUACGGGAGGCAGCAGUGGGGAAUAUUGGACAAUGGGCGCAAGCCUGAUCCAGCCAUACCGCGUGGGUGAAGAAGGCCUUCGGGUUGUAAAGCCCUUUUGUUGGGAAAGAAAAGCAGCAGGUUAAUACCCCGCUGUUCUGACGGUACCCAAAGAAUAAGCACCGGCUAACUUCGUG